UGUAGAUGCCUCACGAUCAGAUUGACCCGCGAACUCGUUUUUCCAUCUACCGGCAGGCAGGCAAGGGUCGGGCUUCUUCCGUCCUCCCCUUGCUCUGCCUGCUGCGUUGGGUCGGGGGGGGGCCCCCCCCUUCCUUCCCAACAAACCCAAACCCCGGUCCUUCGGGGGCCAAGGAAUUCCAAUCUGUCAGGGGCAAUUCCCAACGGCCCGGAAACGGGGCCCCGGGGGGGUUGUCACAACACCCAUUAUUAUUUAAAAUGACUCUCGGCAACGAAAAUCUCGGCUCUUGCAUCAAUGAAAAACGUACCCAAAUGCCAAACUUGGGGGGAAUUGAAAAAUCCCGUGAACAAUCAAGUCUUUGAAGGCAAUUUGCCCCCGAACCCAUUAGGGGGAGGGCACCCCUGCCUGGGGGUCAAACAUCGUUACCCCAAAGGCAAACAAAUGUCUCACCGGACGACCGUUGCGCAUGGGGUUGCACCCUGACCUCCCGCGAGCACCGGGUCGUGGUUGGUUAAAAAUCAAGUUCUGGGCCAAUUACCCCGGGAUAAAAGGGUGAAUGAUUAACAACGCUCAAAACCAAUCUCUUCCACAGACUCGCUCGGUAACGGACUCUAUGUCAACCCUACGGUGCCUCCUCUUCGAAGAAUCCCUCAACGAGA
This 659-nucleotide ribosomal RNA is filed under the name Pueraria montana. RNAcentral's name for it is "eukaryotic LSU rRNA". The stretch from base 260 to 415 matches the Rfam family "5.8S ribosomal RNA". The record is from RNAcentral. Lineage: Eukaryota; Viridiplantae; Streptophyta; Magnoliopsida; Fabales; Fabaceae.